UACGGAGGGUGCGAGCGUUGUCCGGAAUUACUGGGCGUAAAGGGCUCGUAGGCGGCCAACUAAGUCGGAUGUGAAAUCCCCAGGCUCAACUUGGGAACUGCAUCCGAUACUGGAUGGCUUGAAUUCGGGAGAGGGAUGCAGAAUUCCAGGUGUAGCGGUGAAAUGCGUAGAUAUCUGGAGGAAUACCGGUGGCGAAGGCGGCCCCCUGGACAAAGACUGACGCUCAGGUGCGAAAGCGUGGGGAGCAAACAGG
Molecule: ribosomal RNA, 253 nt
Filed under: uncultured bacterium
Lineage: Bacteria
Description: partial 16S ribosomal RNA
Rfam family: Bacterial small subunit ribosomal RNA
Source: RNAcentral